This 84-nucleotide transfer RNA is filed under the name bacterium. RNAcentral describes it as "tRNA-Leu". It matches the Rfam family "tRNA". From Rfam's summary of the family: Transfer RNA (tRNA) molecules are approximately 80 nucleotides in length. Their secondary structure includes four short double-helical elements and three loops (D, anti-codon, and T loops). Further hydrogen bonds mediate the characteristic L-shaped molecular structure. tRNAs have two regions of fundamental functional importance: the anti-codon, which is responsible for specific mRNA codon recognition, and the 3' end, to which the tRNAs corresponding amino acid is attached (by aminoacyl-tRNA synthetases). tRNAs cope with the degeneracy of the genetic code in two manners: having more than one tRNA (with a specific anti-codon) for a particular amino acid; and 'wobble' base-pairing, i.e. permitting non-standard base-pairing at the 3rd anti-codon position. RNAcentral also lists the same sequence under 3 other names. The record is from RNAcentral.
GCCGGGGUGGUGAAAUUGGUAGACGCGCUGGACUCAAAAUCCAGUGGGAGCAAUCCCUUGCGGGUUCGAGUCCCGCCCCCGGCA